Piliocolobus tephrosceles (Ugandan red Colobus) is the source of this 1850-nucleotide long non-coding RNA. NCBI's taxonomy places the organism in Eukaryota, Metazoa, Chordata, Mammalia, Primates, Cercopithecidae. The record is from Ensembl.
AUGACUUGAAAUUAUAUAAAGAAAUUUUACUACUCAUAUGUAUAAUUAUAAUAAAAAAUGAUGAAAAGGAAGUUUAUAUGAUUAUUCCGACGUUUAUAUCUUUAAUCUUACAAAUAUAUCAUGUGGAAAGAGUAAAAUAUAAAAUAGCAAUGGAAGAUAAUAAAACAUAUACAAAUAAAAAUGUUAGUAGCAAAGGUGCUGACGAUGUUUAUUUAUAUGAUUUUAAUUCUUAUAAUAACACAGACGUUUUGUCGUUACUUAAAACAUUGCUAAUCAUUAUAAAUGUUUUAAUCAAAAGCAAUGUUAGUUUUAUUAAUUUUUAUUCAUGGUUAUUUUUUAAAGAUAUAAAUAUAAGACGAAAGAGAAAGAGAGAGAGAGAUAGAGAUAGAGAUAGAGAUAGAGAGAGAGAGAGAGAUAGAGAUAGAGAUAGAGAUAGAGAUAGAGAUAGAGAUAGAGAGAGAAAGAGAGUUAUGUAUCCGAAAGUUCGUAAAAAUUAUUAUUCUUCUACAGUUGGAAGGAAUGGAGUUACUCCUAACAUAACUACUAUUACUACUCCCAUUGAUAAAAAUAAAAGGAAUGAAUAUUUUAAUUCGUCUUGUGAAAGUAGUAACUAUAAUAGUAGUAGUACUAGUAGUACUUGUAGUUAUACUAGUACUAGUAGUACUAAUAGUAGUAGUGGUAGUAGUAGUAGUAGUAUUAGUGGUAGCAAUAUUAUUAGUGAUAGUAAUAGUGGCAGUAAUAGUGGUAGUAAUAAUAUUAAUUAUACUAGUGAUGAUGAAAGCGGUAAUAGUAACGUCGAUUAUACAUAUACUUACGGAAAAAAAAAAAAAAAAAACAUAAGUCACAAAUUUAUAAAAAAAAAUGUAACUAACAAUAUCAAUAGCGAUUUAUAUAUAAAUAAAACAAAUUUUAUAAACGAAAUGAAAAGAUCAAGAACAUUAGAUGAGUCAACAAUAUAUUAUAAAACGAAUGCGAAUAUAGAAGAAAAGAAUAAUAAUCAAAUAGGUAGUGUACAUACUGUUGAAAACAAUGUUACUACCAUUACUACUGGUAACAUUGCUACUAGUUAUAGUAAUAGAUAUAGUAGUCGUAGUCGUAGUCGUAGUAGUAGUAGUAGUAGCAGUAGCAGUAGUAAUAGUAUUAGUAGUAGUAGAAAUGGUCGGUCUAAUAGUGUUAUUACCGUUUUACUUAAUGCGAAUGAUGAAAACUACACUAAUAAUGAUUAUAAAAAAAAUAAUAUGAUUUCAUCAUUCCAAUUAGAGCAAACUAAGAAUAUGAUAACAGACGAUACGGAGUCGUUUUUUAUUCCAUUUUUAGAUAUUAUAGAACAAUUAUAUAUGCCAGAAAAAGGUAGAAAAAAAUGUAAGACUCGUCACAUGAUUGAAAACCAAACUAUUUUAAAUAAAGAAAAUAAUAAUGAUGAUAAUAAUAAAAAUAAAAAUACCAACGUUAGUAGUAAUAAAAGAGAUAUUAGUGUAUCAAAAAUAAGUAACAAAAGCGUUGUUGAUGAUUGUAUUAAUGAAAAUGAAAAAGAUGACUUUGUUCAUAACAAUAUGAACAAAAAAGAGAAAAAGAAAUUAGAUCAGUUUACUAAUUAUUUAAAUGAUAAGGAUGUAUUAGAUUCAAAAAAUGAAACAUGUGAUUAUCUAUCUUCAAAUAAAAAUGUUACUUCUAAUUUGAUUAGUCAAAAUAAGAGUAAUUAUGUUGUUGAUGGCAGUGUUGAACGUGUAGAUGAUGUUAAAAUGUUAAAAGAGUCGAAAUUGCUUAAUAAUAACAGCUGUUAUGAUGUGCGCAAUACCCACAACAACGCUGUCACCGAGUUUAAAGAGAUAUUAGUGUAUCAAAAAUAA